RNAcentral lists this long non-coding RNA (825 nucleotides) under Setaria italica (foxtail millet). Its description in RNAcentral is "long non-coding RNA (SITA_LNC003148)". Lineage: Eukaryota; Viridiplantae; Streptophyta; Magnoliopsida; Poales; Poaceae. The record is from RNAcentral.
GCACGCAUGCAGGUGGACCACGUGAUGGGGCAGGGCGGGGACCUGUCCAACAUCCUGUACGUGCCGGGCGGGCCGCCGGACCUGGGCUGCGGCUUCCCGCGCUUCGAGAACCUCCGCGUCGACGGCGGCGGCUACGACGACGACCCCGGCCAGGUCACGCCCAACUCCAUCCUCGAGCACCCCGCGCAGCAGGGCAGCUGCGGCUACGGCGGCAGCGCCAGCGGGGGCUCCAGCAGCAACGGCGGCGUCCCGAGGAAGAAGAAGACCGGCGGCGGCGGCGGGUUCUUCCCUCAGAUCGUGCUGUCGCUCGGCAACCGGCGGAAGGGCGCGCCCCAUAGGGCGCCGCUUGCCUGACCGACGACAAGUACAGAUCCAACUCCGCCGCCGCCCGCCGGCGCUAUAUAGAUAUGUGCUGUUGAUUAUGCUGUUCAUUAUCGUUAGCUAGCCGUAUGUGUUUAGUAGCCGUGCUUAUUAAGUGUAAUCCUAUGAUUAGCCAUAUGUAGAGAGAGAGAGAUGGAGUGGCUGAGAGGGAUGGAUGGCCUCUAUUGUCUUCUAGGGACCCCAUGCAUCUCGAUCGGUGCAGUGUUUUGACGAGACUCGAGAGGCCAGAGGAGGAGGAGCAAGGCAAAAAGCUCUAGCUGCUGCCGGUAGCAAACCGCCCCUGUUGCAAGCCCAGGUAGGCCCUUUGGCGACGGCGAUGGUCGUCGUCGCCGGCGGCUACCAAUUUUGUACUUGAUGCAACGGGGGUCGCGUUUGCUCGGCAUGCCUACACCAUUGUUAAGUUCAUGACCAAUUAAUACUAGAUGUUGUCCAUCUAAUUGUUGA